GCGGAAUGCUUUACACAUGCAAGUCGAACGGCAGCACGGAGAGCUUGCUCUCUGGUGGCGAGUGGCGAACGGGUGAGUAAUAUAUCGGAACGUGUCCAAUAAUGGGGGAUAACGAGUCGAAAGAUUCGCUAAUACCGCAUACGCCCUACGGGGGAAAGCAGGGGAUCGUAAGACCUUGCGUUAAUGGAGCGGCCGAUAUCUGAUUAGCUUGUUGGUGAGGUAAAGGCUCACCAAGGCGACGAUCAGUAGCUGGUUUGAGAGAACGACCAGCCACACUGGAACUGAGACACGGUCCAGACUCCUACGGGAGGCAGCAGUGGGGAAUUUUGGACAAUGGGGGCAACCCUGAUCCAGCCAUUCCGCGUGAGUGAAGAAGGCCUUCGGGUUGUAAAGCUCUUUCGCAAGGGAAGAAAACUUAUGAUCGAAUAAAUCAUAAGGUUGACGGUACCUUGAUAAGAAGCACCGGCUAACUACGUGCCAGCAGCCGCGGUAAUACGUAGGGUGCGAGCGUUAAUCGGAAUUACUGGGCGUAAAGCGUGCGCAGGCGGUUUUGUAAGUCGGAUGUGAAAUCCCCGGGCUCAACCUGGGAACUGCGUUCGAAACUGCAAGGCUAGAGUGUGUCAGAGGGGGGUAGAAUUCCACGUGUAGCAGUGAAAUGCGUAGAGAUGUGGAGGAAUACCAAUGGCGAAGGCAGCCCCCUGGGAUAACAC
RNAcentral lists this ribosomal RNA (710 nucleotides) under uncultured bacterium. RNAcentral describes it as "bacterial SSU rRNA". It matches the Rfam family "Bacterial small subunit ribosomal RNA", at positions 39 to 740 of the family's 1533-position model. The record is from RNAcentral.